This 511-nucleotide ribosomal RNA is filed under the name uncultured bacterium. RNAcentral describes it as "partial 16S ribosomal RNA". It matches the Rfam family "Bacterial small subunit ribosomal RNA", at positions 28 to 523 of the family's 1533-position model. The record is from RNAcentral.
GACGAACGCUGGCGGCGUGCCUAAUACAUGCAAGUCGAGCGGAAGUUGGAGAGCUUGCUCUUCAAUUUUAGCGGCGGACGGGUGAGUAACACGUGGGCAACCUGCCCUGCAGAUCGGGAUAACUCCGGGAAACCGGUGCUAAUACCGAAUAGUUUUCGCCACCUCCUGGUGGCGUACGGAAAGACGGUUUCGGCUGUCACUGCAGGAUGGGCCCGCGGCGCAUUAGCUAGUUGGGGGGGUAACGGCCCACCAAGGCAACGAUGCGUAGCCGACCUGAGAGGGUGAUCGGCCACACUGGGACUGAGACACGGCCCAGACUCCUACGGGAGGCAGCAGUAGGGAAUCUUCCGCAAUGGACGAAAGUCUGACGGAGCAACGCCGCGUGAGUGACGAAGGUUUUCGGAUCGUAAAACUCUGUUGUGAGGGAAGAACAAGUACCACUUAACUACUGGUACCUUGACGGUACCUCACCAGAAAGCCACGGCUAACUACGUGCCAGCAGCCGCCGUAA